RNAcentral lists this ribosomal RNA (658 nucleotides) under uncultured bacterium. RNAcentral describes it as "bacterial SSU rRNA". It matches the Rfam family "Bacterial small subunit ribosomal RNA", at positions 54 to 710 of the family's 1533-position model. The record is from RNAcentral.
CAUGCAAGUCGAACGGAGCACCCUUGACUGAGGUUUCGGCCAAAUGAUAGGAAUGCUUAGUGGCGGACUGGUGAGUAACGCGUGAGGAACCUGCCUUCCAGAGGGGGACAACAGUUGGAAACGACUGCUAAUACCGCAUGACGCAUGACCGGGGCAUCCCGGACAUGCCAAAGAUUUAUCGCUGGAAGAUGGCCUCGCGUCUGAUUAGCUAGUAGGCGGGGUAACGGCCCACCUAGGCGACGAUCAGUAGCCGGACUGAGAGGUUGACCGGCCACAUUGGGACUGAGAUACGGCCCAGACUCCUACGGGAGGCAGCAGUGGGGAAUAUUGGGCAAUGGGCGCAAGCCUGACCCAGCAACGCCGCGUGAAGGAAGAAGGCUUUCGGGUUGUAAACUUCUUUUGUCAGGGAACAGUAGAAGAGGGUACCUGACGAAUAAGCUCCGGCUAACUACGUGCCAGCAGCCGCGGUAAUACGUAGGGAGCGAGCGUUGUCCGGAUUUACUGGGUGUAAAGGGCGUGCAGCCGGGCUGGUAAGUCAGAUGUGAAAUCCGUGGGCUUAACCCACGAACUGCAUUUGAAACUGCUGGUCUUGAGUACCGGAGAGGUUAUCGGAAUUCCUUGUGUAGCGGUGAAAUGCGUAGAUAUAAGGAAGAACACC